CACUGUAGGGUUUCAGGAUGGGCAUGCACAGUGAAAACAUAAUGGAUUUCAAAAUUUUAAUAAAAAAAUUCAAAAUAUUAAACCCUUAAACCAACAUCUUCUUGAUGAUUAAUAAUCAUAUAUAACAUAAAUUCAAGAUUAAAUUUAAGUUAUAAAAGAAUACCUGCAGCGCUUAAUCCAAAUUUCAGCAUAACCUCCACCAAGCACCCAAGUAUUCGCCCUCCAACGGUGAUCCACACA
RNAcentral lists this long non-coding RNA (240 nucleotides) under Elaeis guineensis (African oil palm). RNAcentral's name for it is "long non-coding RNA (EGUI_LNC072637)". The record is from RNAcentral. Lineage: Eukaryota; Viridiplantae; Streptophyta; Magnoliopsida; Arecales; Arecaceae.